GAUGAACGCUGGCGGCAUGGAUUAGGCAUGCAAGUCGUGCGGCAGCAGGCCCUUCGGGUGCUGGCGAGCGGCGAAAGGGAGAGUAACAGGUAGAUACGUGCCCUUGGGACCAGGAUAGCGUCGGGAAACUGGCGGUAAUACUGGAUAAUAUCUCCGGAUCAAAUGGUGUGAUUCCGCCCAAGGAUCGGUCUGCUUCCUUUUAGCUUGUUGGUGAGGUAAUGGCUCACCAAGGCUGACAUGGGUACCGGGUGUGAGAGCAUGGCCCGGCUCACUGGGACUGAGACACGGCCCAGACUCCUACGGGAGGCAGCAGUGGGGAAUCUUGGAC
This 328-nucleotide ribosomal RNA is filed under the name uncultured Planctomycetota bacterium. Its description in RNAcentral is "bacterial SSU rRNA". It matches the Rfam family "Bacterial small subunit ribosomal RNA", at positions 28 to 369 of the family's 1533-position model. The record is from RNAcentral. Lineage: Bacteria; Pseudomonadati; Planctomycetota.